AGCGAACGCUGGCGGCGUGCCUAACACAUGCAAGUCGAACGUGAAAGGGAGCAAUCCCAAGUAAAGUGGCGUACGGGUGAGUAACACGUAGGUAAUCUACCCCAGAAUCUGGAAUAACCGGCCAAAAGGCUGGCUAAUACUGGAUAGAGCGACGGAAUCCGUAAUUGGGUUUUUCGGGAAAGGGAGCCUGUAAAAAGGCCUUCGUUCUGGGAUGAGCCUGCGUCCCAUCAGCUAGUUGGUGAGGUAAAAGCUUACCAAGGCAAUGACGGGUAGCUGGUCUGAGAGGACGAUCAGCCACACUGGAACUGAAACACGGUCCAGACUCCUACGGGAGGCAGCAGUGGGGAAUCUUGCGCAAUGGACGAAAGUCUGACGCAGCAACGCCGCGUGAGUGAAGAAGGCCUUCGGGUUGUAAAGCUCUGUCGAGUGGGACGAAAAUGCUUGGAGUUCACAGCUCCAGGAACUGACGGUACCACUAAAGGAAGCACCGGCUAACUCCGUG
This 502-nucleotide ribosomal RNA is filed under the name uncultured bacterium. RNAcentral's name for it is "partial 16S ribosomal RNA". It matches the Rfam family "Bacterial small subunit ribosomal RNA", at positions 29 to 507 of the family's 1533-position model. The record is from RNAcentral.